This 811-nucleotide long non-coding RNA is filed under the name Physcomitrium patens. Its description in RNAcentral is "long non-coding RNA (PPAT_LNC012780)". Lineage: Eukaryota; Viridiplantae; Streptophyta; Bryopsida; Funariales; Funariaceae. The record is from RNAcentral.
AAAAAUUACAAAAGAAACAAUAAGAAAUCUUAAAGAAAUUAAAAGAUAAUCCACAAUAAAUCUUAAAAGAAUCUUUAAAAAGGUGUAAAAAAUAUUAAAAUAAUUAUAAUAUAUCUUAAAUAAAUUUCAAAUAAGUUCUAAUUUAAUUCUAAUUAAAAUCCUAAUAGACUUCAAUCAAAUCUUAAGCAAACCCUAAAUCUUAAGUCAAAUCCUAAUCAAAUGUUAAAUCCUAAAUCAAAUCCUAAUAAAAUAAUAAAUCCUAAAUCAAAUCAUAAAUAAAUCCUAAAUCCUAAACCAAAUUCUAACUAAAUUCUAAAUCCUAAAUCAAAUCCUAACCAAAUUCUAAAGUCUAAAUCAAAUCCUAAAGUAAUUUAAAACCUCAAUAUCUUUUGAUUAAAUUAUUGAUGUUAUUUAAAAUUAUAUAAAGCUUUCAAUCUCUUAGUUACAAAUAAAUACAAUAAAUUUGAGGACAAUUGCACUUACCAAAUAAAAGAAAAUUUUGAAAUCUGCUUGGAUGUUGGUUGGCUUCUUGAUCCAAUCUUAAUGCUAAUAUUCUAGUGCUAAUAUCUCUCCUUUGUACCACUAAAUUGAUCUAAAAUUUCUCAUAAACUUAAAAAAUCAAGUUUAUUAUCCAUGCACAUAACUUUCAUUCUAAUCCAACUAAUAGAUUGCAAGAAAUCUUAGAAACCUUCACUAGACCUAAAAUUCUACUUUCUGAAACCUUGACCCACUUAAAUCUCAAUAAUCUUCAAUUCAGCUAUUAGAUCAAGUUAAAAUUUUUAAAACUUGUUAAGCACAACUAUAACCAUUG